CGUAGGGUGCAAGCGUUAAUCGGAAUUACUGGGCGUAAAGCGUGCGCAGGCGGUUAUGUAAGACAGAGGUGAAAUCCCCGGGCUCAACCUGGGAACUGCCUUUGUGACUGCAUAGCUAGAGUACGGCAGAGGGGGAUGGAAUUCCGCGUGUAGCAGUGAAAUGCGUAGAUAUGCGGAGGAACACCGAUGGCGAAGGCAAUCCCCUGGACCUGUACUGACGCUCAUGCACGAAAGCGUGGGGAGCAAACAGAAUUAGAUACCCUGGUAGUCCACGCCCUAAACGAUGUCAACUGGUUGUUGGGUCUUUACUGACUCAGUAACGAAGCUAACGCGUGAAGUUGACCGCCUGGGGAGUACGGCCGCAAGGUUG
Molecule: ribosomal RNA, 370 nt
Filed under: uncultured organism
Description: bacterial SSU rRNA
Rfam family: Bacterial small subunit ribosomal RNA
Source: RNAcentral